UACGUAGGGUGCGAGCGUUGUCCGGAAUUAUUGGGCGUAAAGGGCUCGUAGGCGGUUUGUCACGUCGGGAGUGAAAACUCAGGGCUUAACCCUGAGCCUGCUUCCGAUACGGGCAGACUAGAGGUAUGCAGGGGAGAAUGGAAUUCCUGGUGUAGCGGUGAAAUGCGCAGAUAUCAGGAGGAACACCGGUGGCGAAGGCAGCACUCUGGGACGUGACUGACGCUGAGACGCGAAAGCGUGGGGAGCAAACAGG
RNAcentral lists this ribosomal RNA (253 nucleotides) under uncultured bacterium. Its description in RNAcentral is "partial 16S ribosomal RNA". It matches the Rfam family "Bacterial small subunit ribosomal RNA", at positions 524 to 776 of the family's 1533-position model. The record is from RNAcentral.